AUUAAAGUUGUUGCGGUUAAAAAGCUCGUAGUCGAAUUUGUGUCCCGCGCCGCCGGUUCAUCGUACGCGGUGUUAACUGGCGUGUCGCGGGACGUCCUGCCGGUGGGCCUAAGUCCGCAAGGACGUCGGCCCGACCCAAUCCCGCCGCGGUGCUCUUCAUUGAGUGUCGAGGUGGGCCGGCACGUUUACUUUGAACAAAUUAGAGUGCUUAAAGCAGGCUAAAACUUCGCCUGAAUACUGUGUGCAUGGAAUAAUGGAAUAGGACCUCGGUUCUAUUUUGUUGGUUUUCGGAACCCCGAGGUAAUGAUUAAUAGGAACGGAUGGGGGCAUUCGUAUUGCGACGUUAGAGGUGAAAUUCUUGGAUCGUCGCAAGACGCACAUAAUCGAAAGCAUU
RNAcentral lists this ribosomal RNA (394 nucleotides) under Demotispa sp. LS-2014. Its description in RNAcentral is "SSU rRNA". It matches the Rfam family "Eukaryotic small subunit ribosomal RNA", at positions 603 to 955 of the family's 1831-position model. The record is from RNAcentral. Lineage: Eukaryota; Metazoa; Arthropoda; Insecta; Coleoptera; Chrysomelidae.